This 440-nucleotide ribosomal RNA is filed under the name uncultured bacterium. Its description in RNAcentral is "partial 16S ribosomal RNA". It matches the Rfam family "Bacterial small subunit ribosomal RNA", at positions 338 to 795 of the family's 1533-position model. The record is from RNAcentral.
CCUACGGGUGACAGCAGUGGGGAAUAUUGCACAAUGGGGGAAACCCUGAUGCAGCGACGCCGCGUGAGUGAAGAAGGAAUUCGUUAUGUAAAGCUCUAUCAGCAGGGAAGAAAAUGACGGUACCUGAGUAAGAAGCCCCGGCUAACUACGUGCGAGCAGCCGCGGGAAUACGUAGGGGGCAAGCGUUAUCCGGAGUUACUGGGUGGAAAGGGAGCGGAGCCGGCAGUGCAAGUCUGGAGUGAAAGGCGGGGGCUCAACCCCCGGACUGCUCGGGAAACUGUACGGCUGGAGUGCAGGAGAGGUAAGUGGACUUCCUAGUGUAGCGGUGCAAUGCGUAGAUAUUAGGAGGAACACCAGUGGCGAAGGCGGCUUACUGGACUGUAACUGCCGUUGCGGCUCGAACGCGUGGGGAGCAAACCGGAUUAGAUACCCUAGUAGUC